RNAcentral lists this ribosomal RNA (234 nucleotides) under uncultured bacterium. Its description in RNAcentral is "partial 16S ribosomal RNA". It matches the Rfam family "Bacterial small subunit ribosomal RNA", at positions 524 to 757 of the family's 1533-position model. The record is from RNAcentral.
UACGUAGGGUGCGAGCGUUAAUCGGAAUUACUGGGCGUAAAGCGUGCGCAGGCGGCGCGUUAAGACAGGUGUGAAAGCCCCGAGCUUAACUUGGGAAUUGCGCUUGUGACUGGCGUGCUGGAGUGUGGCAGAGGGAGGUGGAAUUCCACGUGUAGCAGUGAAAUGCGUAGAGAUGUGGAGGAACACCGAUGGCGAAGGCAGCCUCCUGGGCCAGCACUGACGCUCAUGCACGAA